RNAcentral lists this unclassified non-coding RNA (854 nucleotides) under Hevea brasiliensis (rubber tree). The record is from RNAcentral. Lineage: Eukaryota; Viridiplantae; Streptophyta; Magnoliopsida; Malpighiales; Euphorbiaceae.
CUUCUCCCAACUCCUCUUCAUCUUCUUCUUCUUCUUCUUCAUUCUCGUCUUCUUCAUCAACAUCAACAUAUUGAUUACCAACUGUCCUGGAAUAUGUAGCAUUCUUCACAGGAAGUUUUUGUCGAUUUGAAGAACCAUAACCCUGCUGGUGAUUCACACCAUAUGGGUUUGGGGGGUACCUUGCAUCAUCCUCAGUGUCAUCCAUUUUUAAGCACAAUUCAACCUCAAGAACGAGUCAACCUAAAAAAAAAACUCGCUUUACGAAUCCACUACAGCCUCUAAAUAACUUCAAAUUACCAAUUUUUCUUCACUUUAAAAUCCAACUCCUCCCAACACCAACUAUGAUUCCUUUCAUCCCCAAAGUAUCUCACUUUCCACUCCCAAUUUCAACUUCCCUGCUCUUCACCAAAUCAGUAUUCACAAGUCAACACACCGCAAAAGCUUCUGGUGCCAUAUUUAGUUCCACAAUUUUAUCGUGUAAUAUAAGCCCAGUCCCAGAAACAGCAAAAACCCAAGAAUAUUGCAAACAGAUAAUCUUACUUUUCACUUCCAGACGACCAAAUACACGAGAAACAUCGCACCAGACCCAAAAAAAUUAAAAUUUUAGAACAUAUAGUAAAAACAUAAAAUUAUAUAAUCCAUCAUCCACCAAAAAAAUUUUUUUUUUAAAUCUAGUUCAAGAUCACCAGACUCGCUUAUUCCAUAUCAAAUUCAAAUCUAGGAGAAACAAAGCCCUCAAUUUUUCUUUUUCAAAAGACCUCAAAUUUUUUGAGCUAAAAGUUACCAUUUCUUCUCUUCCCACAUGAUCAAAACCCCAUGAAAACAGAACCCAUCAUUCAAAAUAAACAAAAAAA